This 465-nucleotide ribosomal RNA is filed under the name uncultured bacterium. RNAcentral's name for it is "partial 16S ribosomal RNA". It matches the Rfam family "Bacterial small subunit ribosomal RNA", at positions 28 to 507 of the family's 1533-position model. The record is from RNAcentral.
GACGAACGCUGGCGGCGUGCUUAACACAUGCAAGUCGAACGGAAAGGCCCCUUUGGGGGUCCUCGAGUGGCGGACGGGUGAGUAACGCGUGAGUAACCUGCCCUUGCCUUCGGGAUAACUUCAGGAAACUGGGGCUAAUACCGGAUAGGAAUCCUUGCUGCAUGGUGGGGGUUGGAAAGCUUCGGCGGUUUUGGGUGGACUCGCGGGUUAUAAGCUUGUUGGUGGGGUAGUGGCUUACCAAGGCUCUGACGGGUAGCCGGCCUGUGAGGGUGACCGGCCACACUGGGACUGAGAGACGGCCCAGACUCCUACGGGAGGCAGCAGGGGGGAAGAUUGCACAAUGGGCGGAAGCCUGAUGCAGCAACGCCGCGUGCGGGAUGACGGCCUUCGGGUUGAAAAACGGUUUCAGCAGGGGCGAAGCUUGUGGUGACGGUACCUGCAGAAGAAGCACCGGCUAACUACGUG